AUUGAACGCUGGCGGCAGGCUUAACACAUGCAAGUCGAACGGUAGCAGGAGAAAGCUUGCUUUCUUGCUGACGAGUGGCGGACGGGUGAGUAAUGCUUGGGAAUCUGGCUUAUGGAGGGGGAUAACUACGGGAAACUGUAGCUAAUACCGCGUAAUAUCUUCGGAUUAAAGACUGGGACUUUUAGCCAUUCGCCAUAAGAUGAGCCCAAGUGGGAUUAGGUAGUUGGUGGGGUAAAGGCCUACCAAGCCGACGAUCUCUAGCUGGUCUGAGAGGAUGACCACCCACAGGGGAUCAGAGACGGGGCCGAGACCCACAGGGGGCACCGGGGUGGAGAAUUGCGCGCAGGGGGGGAACCCGAGGCGGACCCGGCCCGGGAAAAAAAAAAGCCCCCUGGGUUUAAAAUUUUUUUUGGGGGGAGGAAAGCGAAAAUGUUUAAAGCGCAUUUUAUGUAGGUGUUCCACAGAGAAAACGCCCGGUAACACCCC
This 486-nucleotide ribosomal RNA is filed under the name uncultured bacterium. RNAcentral's name for it is "partial 16S ribosomal RNA". It matches the Rfam family "Bacterial small subunit ribosomal RNA", at positions 30 to 506 of the family's 1533-position model. The record is from RNAcentral.